CGUGAGGGUGGAGGGGUCGGCGCACCCGCCCGCACAGGUGGACAGGUCAGCUCCCCGGGCCCCAGCGUCCCGCCCCGCUGCUGCGUCCCGUCUCUCCCGGCCCGCACCCUCCUCCAGCCCAGCAGUGUGCUGUCCAUCGUCUGGCCGCCAGUCUUUGGCAAAGAGAAGCACUGCCACGGGCGUGUUUGGGCUAAGCCCCCUCCAUUCCGUCUGCGUUGGAGAAAUGUUCCUGGUACCAGAAGGAAUGAAGGGACUGGGACUGGUCUCCAUGGCAACUGGAAGAAAGAGCCGGCGGAACAAGAAAGAUGAGCUUCUCCUUUGCUUGUUGAACAAAAUUAACUAUGCUCACUCCAGACUAGCUCCCCUGACUAGGAAUAACUUUGGAGUUAUCCAAACUCUGGAAAUUCCAGCUCCUGCAAGAAGCCAUCCCAGAUGGAUCCUACAAGAACUAAGAAUACCUGUAACUAGUCUUCUAAAUCUCAGCACCCAGUGUGGCCUUUCUUUCUACCCCCCACCAAUCUGGUCCUCCUUGACCUGAGAGAGCUUUCAUCCAAGUCUGUGAGUCCUAAUAGAUCAUCCUGAAGAAUCAGAAAUCACCAUCAUCACCAUCAUCACCAUCACCAUCACCAU
This 630-nucleotide long non-coding RNA is filed under the name Ursus maritimus (polar bear). RNAcentral describes it as "lncRNA (ENSUMAG00000004241.1)". Lineage: Eukaryota; Metazoa; Chordata; Mammalia; Carnivora; Ursidae. The record is from RNAcentral.